UCCCUGGUGGCUUAAAUGGUAAAGCUUCUGCUUGCAAUGCAGGAGACCUGGGUUCGAUCCCUGGGUUGGGAA
Bos taurus (domestic cattle) is the source of this 72-nucleotide non-coding RNA. The record is from Rfam. Lineage: Eukaryota; Metazoa; Chordata; Mammalia; Artiodactyla; Bovidae.